RNAcentral lists this ribosomal RNA (434 nucleotides) under uncultured Howardella sp. Its description in RNAcentral is "bacterial SSU rRNA". It matches the Rfam family "Bacterial small subunit ribosomal RNA", at positions 341 to 792 of the family's 1533-position model. The record is from RNAcentral. Lineage: Bacteria; Bacillati; Bacillota; Clostridia; Eubacteriales.
ACGGGAGGCAGCAGUGGGGAAUAUUGCACAAUGGAGGGAACUCUGAUGCAGCGACGCCGCGUGAGUGAAGAAGUAUUUCGGUAUGUAAAGCUCUAUCAGUAGGGAAGAUAAUGACGGUACCUAACUAAGAAGCCCCGGCUAAAUACGUGCCAGCAGCCGCGGUAAUACGUAUGGGGCAAGCGUUAUCCGGAUUUACUGGGUGUAAAGGGAGCGUAGGCGGCUGUGCAAGUCGGGAGUGAAAACUUAGGGCUCAACCCUAAGACUGCUCUCGAAACUGUGCGGCUAGAGUGCAGGAAGGGCAGGUGGAAUUCCUAGUGUAGCGGUGAAAUGCGUAGAUAUUAGGAGGAACACCGGUGGCGAAGGCGGCCUGCUGGACUGUAACUGACGCUGAGGCUCGAAAGCGUGGGGAGCGAACAGGAUUAGAUACCCUGGUA